RNAcentral lists this unclassified non-coding RNA (253 nucleotides) under uncultured Pseudomonadaceae bacterium. Its description in RNAcentral is "contains 16S-23S intergenic spacer region". It matches the Rfam family "Bacterial small subunit ribosomal RNA", at positions 524 to 776 of the family's 1533-position model. Lineage: Bacteria; Pseudomonadati; Pseudomonadota; Gammaproteobacteria; Pseudomonadales; Pseudomonadaceae. The record is from RNAcentral.
UACAGAGGGGGCAAGCGUUAAUCGGAAUUACUGGGCGUAAAGCGCGCGUAGGCGGUUUGUUAAGUUGGAUGUGAAGGCCCCGGGCUCAACCUGGGAACUGCAUCCAAAACUGGCAAGCUAGAGGAAGGUAGAGGGAGGUGGAAUUUCAUGUGUAGCGGUGAAAUGCGUAGAUAGAGGAAGGAACACCAGUGGCGAAGGCGACCACCCGGACUGAUACUGACACUGAGGUGCGAAAGCGUGGGGAGCAAACAGG